Molecule: ribosomal RNA, 119 nt
Filed under: Nicotiana sylvestris (wood tobacco)
Lineage: Eukaryota; Viridiplantae; Streptophyta; Magnoliopsida; Solanales; Solanaceae
Source: RNAcentral
GGAUGUGAUCAUACCAGCAAUAACGCACUGGAUCCCAUCAGAACUCCGAAGUCAAGCACGCUUGGGCGAGAGUAGUACUCGGUUGGGUGACCCCCUAAGAAGUCCUCGUAUUGCAUCCC